GAUGAACGCUGGCGGCGUGCAUAACACAUGCAAGUCGAACGGGAAUUAUUUUAUUGAAACUUCGGUCGAUUUAAUUUAAUUCUAGCGGCGGACGGGUGAGUAACGCGUGGGUAACCUGCCUUAUACAGGGGGAUAACAGUCAGAAAUGGCUGCUAAUACCGCAUAAGCGCACAGAGCUGCAUGGCUCAGUGUGAAAAACUCCGGUGGUAUAAGAUGGACCCGCGUUGGAUUAGCUUGUUGGCAGGGUAACGGCCUACCAAGGCGACGAUCCAUAGCCGGCCUGAGAGGGUGAACGGCCACAUUGGGACUGAGACACGGCCCAGACUCCUACGGGAGGCAGCAGUGGGGAAUAUUGCACAAUGGGGGAAACCCUGAUGCAGCGACGCCGCGUGAAGGAAGAAGUAUCUCGGUAUGUAAACUUCUAUCAGCAGGGAAGAUAGUGACGGUACCUGACGAAGAAGCCCCGGCUAACUACGUG
Molecule: ribosomal RNA, 478 nt
Filed under: uncultured bacterium
Lineage: Bacteria
Description: partial 16S ribosomal RNA
Rfam family: Bacterial small subunit ribosomal RNA
Source: RNAcentral